CCUACGGGAGGCAGCAGUGGGGAAUAUUGGACAAUGGGCGCAAGCCUGAUCCAGCCAUACCGCGUGUGUGAAGAAGGCCCUAGGGUUGUAAAGCACUUUAAGUUGGGAAGAAAAGUUAUUGGCUAAUACCCAAUGACCGUGACAUUACCUUCAGAAUAAGGACCGGCUAAUUCCGUGCCAGCAGCCGCGGUAAUACGGAAGGUCCAAGCGUUAAUCGGAAUUACUGGGCGUAAAGCGCGCGUAGGUGGUUUAUUAAGUUGGAUGUGAAAUCCCCGGGCUCAACCUGGGAACUGCAUCCAAAACUGAUUCACUAGAGUACGAUAGAGGGAGGUAGAAUUCACAGUGUAGCGGUGGAAUGCGUAGAUAUUGUGAAGAAUACCAAUGGCGAAGGCAGCCUCCUGGAUCUGUACUGACACUGAGGUGCGAAAGCGUGGGUAGCGAACAGGAUUAGAUACCCUGGUAGUCCACGCCGUAAACGAUGUCAACUAGCUGUUGGGGAACUAUGUUCUUCAGUGGCGCAGCUAACGUAGUAAGUUGACCGCCUGGGGAGUACGGCCGCAAGGCUAAAACUCAAAGGAAUUGACGGA
Molecule: ribosomal RNA, 587 nt
Filed under: uncultured bacterium
Lineage: Bacteria
Description: bacterial SSU rRNA
Rfam family: Bacterial small subunit ribosomal RNA
Source: RNAcentral